RNAcentral lists this non-coding RNA (1300 nucleotides) under Pan troglodytes (chimpanzee). The record is from RNAcentral. Lineage: Eukaryota; Metazoa; Chordata; Mammalia; Primates; Hominidae.
UUAUUUUUUUUAUUGCUUCUUAACUAACAGUUACAAUUACCACCAUGUGUAAAAUAAGAUCAGUUUCAGGAUGACUUCAAGGCCCAAGUUUAUAACAUUGGCAGGCUACAGGAGGUGGGAUGAGUCCUGCCAAAGCUAACAGCUAAUUUGGGGAAGUCUACUCCGACAACUUUGGUAAAAUCAACUAAACUCUCCUUAGUCUUUGUUUGCAGAAGUAGUAGUAGCUAGCUAACACCUUCUGAUUCCUUACCAUGUGCCCUUGACUGAGUUAAAUGUGUUAUAUGCAGACAACUGCGGUUGAAACAAGCUGCUACUCAUUAGCAGGAUGACUUAACCAUAAAAAUCUUCAAUUUUCUCAUCUGGAAAAUGGGGAUAAUAAGCUCAUAUAAUCUCCUAGGGUUGCUGGGAGAAUUAAAUCAGAAGCUAUGAUAAUAAGGCAGACAGAUGCUUCUGGAGUGUAGCAGAUUGUAUUUCUAAAAAUGGCCACAAGAAUGUGCUCUCCUAGAACCUUGCCCAUGCCCCCAUCAGGAGGUGGAUGGUUCUUUGUGACAGCCACAGUGAAUAGGAUGUGGUGGAGGUGGCACUGUGUGACUGGCUAAUAAAAGAUAACAUGGCCUCUGUCUCUCUCUCGUUCUGUACUGUAAGAGUUCUGAACCAUCCUGUGACAAGUCUAGUUACCCUAAAGCUGUCAUGCAGGAGAGACCAUGUGGAGAGAAGGAGAGUUAGAGAGAGGAGGAGCCCCUGCUGUUUGAGUAUUCUCAGCCCAGACACCAGACAUGAGUGAGGAAGCAUUCAGGAAAAGACAGAAGCUGAUUGAGGUCCCAGCUUGGUAACAGUUUGAAGAGUUGCAGGACUGGCUGGAUGAGUACUGGCUGCAGCAAGUCAGGCUGCCAGGAUUCUUUAUGGCUGUUUCUGCUUCCACUACAGCUGAGUCAGAAAGGUCGCUGCCCAGUGGUGGCACUAGACGCAGUGGACCUGGCAAGCAAAUGUUUCCGCUAUUAGCUCUCAGCAACAGAGACUCAUUUAUGGUCACCUUGGAAAUCUGGGCUUAUCGAUCUACAGCCCAAGUCUGCUGAGAAGCUGGAGCUUAAUAAAGGGGAAACCUGAGAGCUGUUCAAGCCCCAAACAUUUUCCACUUCUGCGUCACCUCUGCUGUCUGUUAGCAGAGUGGAGGAGAAAAUACACCAGCACAAACAAUGCGAAAAAAUAGUUACUCUAUUCAUUAAAAGCUGUAACUUCCAGAUUGGACUUGAGAAGCAAUUAAGCAACAGAGGCACCUCGUCUACUAUCUGUAUUCAGG